Molecule: ribosomal RNA, 660 nt
Filed under: Alexandrium monilatum
Lineage: Eukaryota; Dinophyceae; Gonyaulacales; Pyrocystaceae
Description: partial Bacterial large subunit ribosomal RNA
Rfam family: Bacterial large subunit ribosomal RNA
Source: RNAcentral
GAACCAGUACCGUGAGGGAAAGGCGAAAAGAACCCCUGUGAGGGGAGUGAAAUAGAUCCUGAAACCGUAUGCGUACAAGCAGUCGGAGCGGACUUGUUCCGUGACGGCGUACCUUUUGUAUAAUGGGUCAGCGACUUAUGUUCAGUGGCGAGGUUAACCGUUUAGGGGAGCCGUAGGGAAACCGAGUCUGAAUAGGGCGAUUUAGUCGCUGGGCAUAGACCCGAAACCGGGCGAUCUAUCCAUGAGCAGGUUGAAGGUGCCGUAACAGGCACUGGAGGACCGAACCCACUGUCGUUGAAAAGCCAGGGGAUGACUUGUGGAUCGGAGUGAAAGGCUAAUCAAGCCCGGAGAUAGCUGGUUCUCCCCGAAAGCUAUUUAGGUAGCGCCUCGGACGAAUACCAUUGGGGGUAGAGCACUGUUUGGGCUAGGGGGUCAUCCCGACUUACCAACCCCAUGCAAACUCCGAAUACCAAUGAGUACUAUCCGGGAGACACACGGCGGGUGCUAACGUCCGUCGUGGAGAGGGAAACAACCCAGACCGCCAGCUAAGGUCCCCAAAUAUUGCUAAGUGGGAAACGAUGUGGGAAGGCUCAGACAGCUAGGAGGUUGGCUUAGAAGCAGCCAUCCUUUAAAGAAAGCGUAAUAGCUCACUAGUCGAGU